UACGGGAGGCAGCAGUGGGGAAUAUUGCACAAUGGGCGAAAGCCUGAUGCAGCUAUGCCGCGUGUAUGAAGAAGGCCUUAGGGUUGUAAAGUACUUUCAUCGGGGAGGAAAAACAAAACUAAUAAUUUUAUUUCUUGACGUUACCCGAAAAAGAAGCACCGGCUAACUCCGUGCCAGCAGCCGCGGUAAUACGGAGGGUGCUAGCGUUAAUCAGAAUUACUGGGCGUAAAGAGCACGUAGGUGGUUUUUUUAAGUCAGAUGUGAAUCCCUGGGCUUAACCUGGAACUGCAUUUUGAAACUGAAAUACUAGAGUAUCGUAGAGGGAGGUAGAAUUCUAGGUGUAGCGGUGAAAUGCGUAGAUAUCUGGAGGAUACCUGUGGCGAAAGCGGCCUCCUAAACGAAUACUGACACUGAGGUGCGAAAGCGUGGGGAGCGAAACAGGGAUUAGAUACC
This 453-nucleotide ribosomal RNA is filed under the name uncultured bacterium. RNAcentral describes it as "bacterial SSU rRNA". It matches the Rfam family "Bacterial small subunit ribosomal RNA", at positions 340 to 786 of the family's 1533-position model. The record is from RNAcentral.